This 406-nucleotide ribosomal RNA is filed under the name uncultured bacterium. RNAcentral's name for it is "partial 16S ribosomal RNA". It matches the Rfam family "Bacterial small subunit ribosomal RNA", at positions 28 to 526 of the family's 1533-position model. The record is from RNAcentral.
GACGAACGCUGGCGGCGUGCCUAAUACAUGCAAGUCGAACGAGUGGCGGACGGGUGAGUAACACGUGGGAACCUACCCAUCAGAGGGGGAUAACACUUGGAAACAGGUGCUAAUACCGCAUACGCUAUGAUGGACCCGCGGUGCAUUAGCUAGUUGGUGAGGUAAAGGCUCACCUAGGCGACGAUCCCUAGCUGGUCUGAGAGGAUGACCAGCCACACUGGAACUGAGACACGGUCCAGACUCCUACGGGAGGCAGCAGUGGGGAAUAUUGCACAAUGGGCGCAAGCCUGAUGCAGCCAUGCCGCGUGUAUGAAGAAGGCCUUCGGGUUGUAAAGUUCUUUCGGUAGCGAGGCGUUAACUACAGAAGAAGCACCGGCUAACUCCGUGCCAGCAGCCGCGGUAAUUC